CAUGCAGUCGAACGGAACUUUUUUAAAGGAUUUCUUCGGAAUGAAUUUGAUUAAGUUUAGUGGCGGACGGGUGAGUAACGCGUGAGUAACCUGCCUCUAAGAGGGGAAUAACAUUCUGAAAAGAAUGCUAAUACCGCAUAACAUAUAUUUAUCGCAUGGUAGAUAUAUCAAAGAUUUAUCGCUUAGAGAUGGACUCGCGUCCGAUUAGUUAGUUGGUGAGGUAACGGCUCACCAAGACCGCGAUCGGUAGCCGGACUGAGAGGUUGAACGGCCACAUUGGGACUGAGACACGGCCCAGACUCCUACGGGAGGCAGCAGUGGGGGAUAUUGCGCAAUGGGGGAAACCCUGACGCAGCAACGCCGCGUGAAGGAUGAAGGUCUUCGGAUUGUAAACUUCUUUUAUUAAGGACGAAGAAAGUGACGGUACUUAAUGAAUAAGCUCCGGCUAACUACGUGCCAGCAGCCGCGGUAAUACGUAGGGAGCAAGCGUUGUCCGGAUUUACUGGGUGUAAAGGGUGCGUAGGCGGCUUUGCAAGUCAGAUGUGAAAUCUAUGGGCUCAACCCAUAGCCUGCAUUUGAAACUGCAGAGCUUGAGUGAAGUAGAGGCAGGCGGAAUUCCCCGUGUAGCGGUGAAAUGCGUAGAGAUGGGGAGGAACACCAGUGGCGAAGGCGGCCUGCUGGGCUUUAACUGACGCUGAGGCACGAAAGCGUGGGUAGCAAACAGGAUUAGAUACCCUGGUAGUCCACGCUGUAAACGAUGAUUACUAGGUGUGGG
This 775-nucleotide ribosomal RNA is filed under the name uncultured bacterium. Its description in RNAcentral is "bacterial SSU rRNA". It matches the Rfam family "Bacterial small subunit ribosomal RNA", at positions 54 to 826 of the family's 1533-position model. The record is from RNAcentral.